RNAcentral lists this ribosomal RNA (113 nucleotides) under Caerostris extrusa. The record is from RNAcentral. Lineage: Eukaryota; Metazoa; Arthropoda; Arachnida; Araneae; Araneidae.
AACGGCCAUACCAUGCUGAAUAUACCGGUUCUUGUUAGAUCACCGAAGUCAAGAAUCAUUGGGCGCGGUCAGUACUUGGGUGGAUGACCCACCUGGGAACACUGCGUGCCGUU